Molecule: long non-coding RNA, 887 nt
Filed under: Mustela putorius furo (domestic ferret)
Lineage: Eukaryota; Metazoa; Chordata; Mammalia; Carnivora; Mustelidae
Description: lncRNA (ENSMPUG00000030429.1)
Source: RNAcentral
GAGACACCCGAGAGGCAGGAGUGAAGGUUAGACCUGGCUGGGAGCAGUGGAAGAAACAAGAGGCAGGUAGAUGCUCUCCGGAAGGUGGAUCUGCCCGUUAGCCUCAGUUCUGCUUUCCUCAGCACUCCUAACACUCCUAGGAGCUAGCUAAGCCUUCUCUCCAAGGCUGUUGUCCUUGAGUCUGGUGCUGGAGAUUGAAGUCCCAGAAGGAAAGACAGGAAGGGAAGAUGGAGAUGAACACACCAUUAGGCUUAAGAAACUUGCUCAAGAUCAAUAGUAAAUAACUGGCAGAGCAGGACUGGAAACCAGACAAAUCAACUCAGGAACUGUGCAUAAGAACCAACAGAUUUGUCUAUGCAAAGGCAAAGAAUGGCUGCGUGGGUCCAGUGGAUUUAUUGUCACCUGGUGCAUCUAUCCACCAGCAGCCCAGUGUUCUGGCCAAUGGCACUGCUCCUCUAAGGCUGGCGUUGCCUCAAGGUGACUCUUUUUGGCAUGUAUUACCUGGAGGAGGUACACAGUUGAGGGCCCGUGCAUCAGAGGAACUGAAGUACUACUCAGAAGAGGAGAGAGUCUGGAGGCACUACCACAGAGAAGGAUACUAAAUUCAACCUUUCUUUUCUUGUGUCAAAAGAAGUACAGAAUUAUUAAAGUAUGGAAUGCAUAAAUGCAAGAAAAAAAAAAGGAAAACAAUCAAAAUGCCCUGAGCCACAGAUAAAUUGUUGACAAGGCGCUGUGGUGUUCAAGCCAAGAUGGCGGCGGAAUUCCAUCUUGUGGAUCUCCUCCUGCUCCCGGUGCAUAAUGAUGGUGGCAGAAAUUUAAAAGAGAACAUUCAAAAAGACAUAUGUAUUUAAUAAGAUCAAUACAAACCACUUUGUGUAACAGAAAUA